CGAGUUGGUCGAGCUAUCGCUUAAUUUUUAAGAGGAAAGUCCGGACUUCAAAGAGCAAGGUGCCAGCUAACAGCUGGGGAGCGUGAGCUUACGGAUAGUGCAGCAGAAAAUAUACCGCCAUUUUGGUAAGGGUGAAAAGGUAAGGUAAGAGCUUACCGCUCAAACGAAAGUUUGAGGCAGUGCAAACCCCACUUGAAGCAAUGCCAAGUAGAGAUUAAAUUGUGUUGCUCGCACAUAAUCAGGGUAGGCAGCAUGAAUGUUUUGGUGACAAAACAUCAAGAUAAAUGAUAGCUAAAAACAGAAUCCGGCUUAUAGACCAACUCGAUUC
RNAcentral lists this RNase P RNA (328 nucleotides) under Gammaproteobacteria bacterium TMED219. RNAcentral describes it as "RNase P RNA component class A". It matches the Rfam family "Bacterial RNase P class A". Rfam says of the family: Ribonuclease P (RNase P) is a ubiquitous endoribonuclease, found in archaea, bacteria and eukarya as well as chloroplasts and mitochondria. Its best characterised activity is the generation of mature 5'-ends of tRNAs by cleaving the 5'-leader elements of precursor-tRNAs. The record is from RNAcentral. Lineage: Bacteria; Pseudomonadati; Pseudomonadota; Gammaproteobacteria. RNAcentral also lists the same sequence under 1 other name.